Molecule: ribosomal RNA, 427 nt
Filed under: uncultured bacterium
Lineage: Bacteria
Description: partial 16S ribosomal RNA
Rfam family: Bacterial small subunit ribosomal RNA
Source: RNAcentral
UGGGGAAUAUUGCACAAUGGGCGCAAGCCUGAUGCAGCCAUGCCGCGUGUAUGAAGAAGGCCUUCGGGUUGUAAAGUACUUUCACCGGGGAGGAAGGCGAUGCGGUUAAUAACCGCGUCGAUUGACGUUACCCGCAGAAGAAGCACCGGCUAACUCCGUGCCAGCAGCCGCGGUAAUACGGAGGGUGCAAGCGUUAAUCGGAAUUACUGGGCGUAAAGCGCACGCAGGCGGUAUGUCAAGUCGGAUGUGAAAUCCCCGGGCUCAACCUGGGAACUGCAUCCGAAACUGGCAGGCUUGAGUCUCGUAGAGGGGGGUAGAAUUCCAGGUGUAGCGGUGAAAUGCGUAGAGAUCUGGAGGAAUACCGGUGGCGAAGGCGGCCCCCUGGACGAAGACUGACGCUCAGGUGCGAAAGCGUGGGGAGCAAACA